Papaver somniferum (opium poppy) is the source of this 1256-nucleotide long non-coding RNA. RefSeq lists it as uncharacterized. The record is from RefSeq and is a predicted model, not a curated record. Lineage: Eukaryota; Viridiplantae; Streptophyta; Magnoliopsida; Ranunculales; Papaveraceae. The transcript is spliced from 4 exons.
CCAUUACUAAAUCCAAAAUCUCUUCUAAGUGGUUGCAAUUGUUAACCAGAUCAUGCACCCAAGGGUCCAAAGAAGUGGUUCAGCUAAAUUUAGCAACCGAUACUGCACCCAAGCCAAUGUUUGGUCUUACAGUCUUCCACAAGGACCACAACAGAUGAAGGAAUUCAAAGAGUUUGAUUAUUUGCUCUCUCCUUCCUUCACUUAGAUGAUGAUAUCAUCAUAAAUUUGUUUGCUGUGGCUGCUCAUCCAUUUAUAUUCUCUUCAAUUCUGCAACAUAUAUACUAUAUUCAUUACUGACUGGGUAUGAUGGUUGUUUGAGUUUGAAGUGAUUUCCAGUCAGUAGUUUUUAUCAACAUGGGAACAGAUUCAGUUAAAUCCUAACUGUUUGAUAAAAUGCCUGACAGAGAUUAAAGAGCUUAUCAACAACAAAGCUAAUGUCACUCUGAAGGCUGCUGUUGCUGCUAACAGCUUCAAGAGGAAAACUUUCAUUUAUGCAAACAGUUCCGUCUUUAGAGGGUUCUUAUCAGUUAUUUUGUUGUGUUGGGUUAAUGUAAAAAUUGAAUUUGUUAGAAAGGCUAGAAAAUGAACUUGAAUUAUUAUCUGUUGUUAUAGCUUUAGGAAAUGGAGGUUGCAAACUGUCAACGACAACCCUAAGGUGAACUGUUCAGAUAGCCAUUUACAUGUAAGCGUGUUGGUCAUUCUGCAGUCAAGUGGUUCUUUAGAUACACUACUCCAAAAUAGUGACAAGCCUCUGUAGCAAGCUUUUUCUGCCUAUACAUUUUUGAUGCAGCGUUAUGAAAUCAAGGAUCUCAAGACUGACAGGCUUCUUACUAGAGAAAAGGUUAGGACAUCUUUCUCACACUGUUCUUCCCAAGCUUCAGUCCAAAGGAUUAAUUCAAUUAUCAUCUUCUUCUUCUGAGGAUGAUUGUGCCACUCACAUCAGUUACGUGGCAGAUAUCUUUACUAAAGGACUUUUACUUCACCAGUUUUCUGUGGUUUUCAGUCCAUGUUUCUGCUUAGCUUGAGGGGAGUAUUAUUAACUGAACAAAUCUCUUCUUUUGUGUUGUUUUAAAUCUGUCCAUUCAAUUGUGUGUUUGCUCAGUUUGUCAAGGGUCUGUUGAGGUUUGUUGUAAUGGUUAUCUGUUCUCUUGUCCUUUCUUUUAGUGACUUAUGUUUUGGUCUCCUGUCUCUUAUAAAAGCUGAAUCGAGUCCUGUAUUUCGUUAUCCAAUUUCAUUUUGAUAAAAGUCUCUCAACA